RNAcentral lists this long non-coding RNA (662 nucleotides) under Medicago truncatula (barrel medic). RNAcentral's name for it is "long non-coding RNA (MTRU_LNC007821)". The record is from RNAcentral. Lineage: Eukaryota; Viridiplantae; Streptophyta; Magnoliopsida; Fabales; Fabaceae.
UCUGCUUGGGCUGCAUUUUGGGUCAUUGUAGUCGGCUUAGUUCUGGCCGCUUCAGGGGCAUACCUUGUCUACAAAUAUAGAAUUAGGGUAAGUUUGGUUGCAUUCUCCCUGUUUGGUGAUGUUAUAUGACGCCUUUUUUUUCUUUUUUCUUUCCUUUCUAUGUUUAUACAAGAUUUAUGACAUUCUAUGAAAUCCAUUAAUUUCGAUACCAGCUUUUUUGUUUAAAAAUCAAAUUCAGAAACAUGAAAGUGUAUUCGACAAAUUCUGUGGAGAAGCAAGAGUCUUUCUUAAAUCACUUCAUAGUAUUUGAUUGGCUAAAAUUAACUGUAUUUUUCUUGUAUUUUUGCAGUCAUACAUGGAUUCUGAAAUAAGGGCCAUCAUGGCUCAGUAUAUGCCCUUGGACAGCCAAUCAGAAGUUGUAAAUCAUGUCAACGAUGAAAGAGCAUGAAAGUGAAAACAUGUCAGCCUGUUGGCAGAGUUGUGUGUUGAGAAAUGAGACCUGGUUGUGGCAUACCUUGUACCUUUUUCACUUUUCAGAAUUCUGAGCAUUGAAUUUAAUUAAUAGACUGUAUCAUAUGAACAAUAAAAGGCUGAGAAUUAGAUAGAUGUCAUGUAUUAUUCGGAAUGUAGCAAGUUGUAUACUUGAAAGGACUGAAUUUAGG